Molecule: ribosomal RNA, 442 nt
Filed under: uncultured bacterium
Lineage: Bacteria
Description: partial 16S ribosomal RNA
Rfam family: Bacterial small subunit ribosomal RNA
Source: RNAcentral
CCUACGGGGGGCAGCAGUAGGGAAUCUUUCACAAUGGGCGAAAGCCUGAUGGAGCAACGCCGCGUGCAGGAUGAAGGCCUUCGGGUUGUAAACUGCUUUUAUAAGCGAGAAAUAUGAUGGUAACUUAUGAAUAAGGAUCGGCUAACUACGUGCCAGCAGCCGCGGUCAUACGUAGGAUCCGAGCAUUAUCCGGAGUGACUGGGUGUAAAGAGUUGCGUAGGUGGCAUAAUAAGUAGCUAGUGAAAUCUGGUGGCUCAACCAUUCAGACUAUUAGCUAAACUGUUAAGCUCGAGACCGUUAGGGGUAACUGGAAUUUCUAGUGUAGGAGUGAAAUCCGUAGAUAUUAGAAGGAACACCGAUAGCGUAGGCAGGUUGCUGGGACGGUUCUGACACUAAGGCACGAAAGCGUAGGGAGCAAACGGGAUUAGAUACCCCUGUAGUC